Molecule: small RNA, 162 nt
Filed under: Arabidopsis thaliana (thale cress)
Lineage: Eukaryota; Viridiplantae; Streptophyta; Magnoliopsida; Brassicales; Brassicaceae
Description: ATSL096420
Source: RNAcentral
AAGAUCUAGUUAAUUACUCUAGAUCUAGCAUUAGGUAUAAUCAAAGAUGAUGAAUUCUACAGAUAACCUAGCAAAGGGGGCAAUCUACUAAACCAUAUGAAUCCCUAAUGAGAAACCCUAUUCCUAACAAGCAGAUUACUCAGACAUAUUGAUUGUAACAAA